GGCGUGCCUAAUACAUGCAAGUCGAGCGAACGGACGAGAAGCUUGCUUCUCUGAUGUUAGCGGCGGACGGGUGAGUAACACGUGGAUAACCUACCUAUAAGACUGGGAUAACUUCGGGAAACCGGAGCUAAUACCGGAUAAUAUUUUGAACCGCAUGGUUCAAAAGUGAAAGACGGUCUUGCUGUCACUUAUAGAUGGAUCCGCGCUGCAUUAGCUAGUUGGUAAGGUAACGGCUUACCAAGGCAACGAUGCAUAGCCGACCUGAGAGGGUGAUCGGCCACACUGGAACUGAGACACGGUCCAGACUCCUACGGGAGGCAGCAGUAGGGAAUCUUCCGCAAUGGGCGAAAGCCUGACGGAGCAACGCCGCGUGAGUGAUGAAGGUCUUCGGAUCGUAAAACUCUGUUAUUAGGGAAGAACAUAUGUGUAAGUAACUGUGCACAUCUUGACGGUACCUAAUCAGAAAGCCACGGCUAACUACGUGCCAGCAGCCGCGGUAAUACGUAGGUGGCAAGCGUUAUCCGGAAUUAUUGGGCGUAAAGCGCGCGUAGGCGGUUUUUUAAGUCUGAUGUG
This 573-nucleotide ribosomal RNA is filed under the name uncultured Staphylococcus sp. RNAcentral describes it as "bacterial SSU rRNA". It matches the Rfam family "Bacterial small subunit ribosomal RNA", at positions 41 to 596 of the family's 1533-position model. Lineage: Bacteria; Bacillati; Bacillota; Bacilli; Caryophanales; Staphylococcaceae. The record is from RNAcentral.